Molecule: ribosomal RNA, 301 nt
Filed under: uncultured bacterium
Lineage: Bacteria
Description: partial 16S ribosomal RNA
Rfam family: Bacterial small subunit ribosomal RNA
Source: RNAcentral
CAGUAGCCGCGGGAAUACGAAGGGUGCAAGCGUUACUCGGAACUACUGGGCGUAAAGCGUGCGUAGGUGGUGGUUUAAGUCCGUUGUGAAAGCCCUGAGCUCAACCUGGGAAUUGCAGUGGAUACUGGGUCACUAGAGUGUGGUAGAGGAUAGUGGAAUUUCCGGUGUAGCAGUGAAAUGCGUAGAGAUCGGAAGGAACAUCUGUGGCGAAGGCGACUAUCUGGGCCAACACUGACACUGAGGCACGAAAGCGUGGGGAGCAAACAGGAUUAGAUACCCCUGUAGUCCCUGUCUCUUAUAC